CUUCGCUAGUAAGAUUGAUUGGAAUUAAUGGUUUCUCACCAAGUUGAAAGGCUGGCUUUCACCCCAGGCUCUCUUCCCUCUGACUGCCUAAGUCUUUGGUACCAACGUAAACCAGGACUUCUGGCUGAUCCUCUUCCUCCAGGA
This is a long non-coding RNA of Rhincodon typus (whale shark), 144 nucleotides long. RefSeq lists it as uncharacterized. The transcript is spliced from 3 exons. Lineage: Eukaryota; Metazoa; Chordata; Chondrichthyes; Orectolobiformes; Rhincodontidae. The record is from RefSeq and is a predicted model, not a curated record.